CGGCCACAUUGGGACUGAGACACGGCCCAAACUCCUACGGGAGGCAGCAGUAGGGAAUUUUCGGCAAUGGAGGAAACUCUGACCGAGCAACGCCGCGUGAACGAUGAAGUAUUUCGGUACGUAAAGUUCUUUUAUUAGGGAAGAAUAAAUGAUGGAAAAAUCAUUCUGACGGUACCUAAUGAAUAAGCCCCGGCUAACUAUGUGCCAGCAGCCGCGGUAAUACAUAGGGGGCAAGCGUUAUCCGGAAUUAUUGGGCGUAAAGGGUGCGUAGGCGGUUAAAUAAGUUUAUGGUCUAAGUGCAAUGCUUAACAUUGUGAUGCUAUAAAAACUGUUUAACUAGAGUAAGAUAGAGGCAAGUGGAAUUCCAUGUGUAGUGGUAAAAUGCGUAAAUAUAUGGAGGAACACCAGUAGCGAAGGCGGCUUGCUGGGUCUUUACUGACGCUGAGGCACGAAAGCGUGGGGAGCAAACAGGAUUAGAUACCCUGGUAGUCCACGCCGUAAACGAUGAGUACUAAAUGUUGGGUAAAACCAGUGUUGAAGUUAACACAUUAAGUACUCCGCCUGAGUAGUACGUACGCAAGUAUGAAACUUAAAGGAAUUGACGGGACUCCGCACAAGCGGUGGAUCAUGUUGUUUAAUUCGAAGGUACCCGAAAAACCUCACCAGGUCUUGACAUGCUUCUGCAAAGCUGUAGAAACACAGUGGAGGUUAUCAGUUGCACAGGUGGUGCAUGGUUGUCGUCAGCUCGUGUCGUGAGAUGUUGGGUUAAGUCCCGCAACGAGCGCAACCCUUAUUGUUAGUUGCCAGCACGUAAUGGUGGGGACUUUAGCAAGACUGCCAGUGAUAAAUUGGAGGAAGGUGGGGACGACGUC
This 872-nucleotide ribosomal RNA is filed under the name Cassava witches'-broom aster yellows phytoplasma. RNAcentral describes it as "bacterial SSU rRNA". It matches the Rfam family "Bacterial small subunit ribosomal RNA", at positions 305 to 1186 of the family's 1533-position model. The record is from RNAcentral. Lineage: Bacteria; Bacillati; Mycoplasmatota; Mollicutes; Acholeplasmatales; Acholeplasmataceae.